ACUACGGCUGGCGGCGUGCCUAAUACGAUGCAAGUCGAACGGGAUUCUUUGAUCAGCUUGCUGAGAGAAGGAUCUAGUGGCGGACGGGUGAGUAACGCGUGGGAAUCUGCCUCUUACUGGGGGAUAACAGUGGGAAACUACUGCUAAUACCGCAUAAGAUCUUCGGAUGAAAGGUGCAACUGCACCGGUAAGAGAUGAGCCCGCGUCCCAUUAGCUAGUUGGUGAGGUAAAGGCUCACCAAGGCGACGAUGGGUAGCCGGCCUGAGAGGGUGAACGGCCACACUGGGACUGAGACACGGCCCAGACUCCUACGGGAGGCAGCAGUAGGGAAUCUUCCGCAAUGGGCGCAAGCCUGACGGAGCGACGCCGCGUGAGUGAUGAAGGCCUUCGGGUCGUAAAGCUCUGUUCUUGAGGACGAAUAAGCCAGGGAGUGGAAAGCCCUGGUGAUGACUGUACUCAAGGAGAAAGCUCCGGCUAACUACGUG
This 485-nucleotide ribosomal RNA is filed under the name uncultured bacterium. RNAcentral describes it as "bacterial SSU rRNA". It matches the Rfam family "Bacterial small subunit ribosomal RNA", at positions 35 to 507 of the family's 1533-position model. The record is from RNAcentral.